RNAcentral lists this ribosomal RNA (253 nucleotides) under uncultured bacterium. RNAcentral describes it as "partial 16S ribosomal RNA". It matches the Rfam family "Bacterial small subunit ribosomal RNA", at positions 524 to 776 of the family's 1533-position model. The record is from RNAcentral.
UACGUAGGGUGCGAGCGUUAAUCGGAUUUACUGGGCGUAAAGAGCGCGCAGGCGGUCGUUCAAGUCGCGUGUGAAAGCCCCCGGCUCAACUGGGGAGGGUCACGCGAUACUGAUCGACUGGAAGGCAGGAGAGGGUAGUGGAAUUCCCGGUGUAGUGGUGAAAUGCGUAGAUAUCGGGAGGAACACCAGUGGCGAAGGCGACUACCUGGCCUGUUCUUGACGCUGAGGCGCGAAAGCUAGGGGAGCAAACGGG